RNAcentral lists this ribosomal RNA (497 nucleotides) under uncultured bacterium. Its description in RNAcentral is "partial 16S ribosomal RNA". It matches the Rfam family "Bacterial small subunit ribosomal RNA", at positions 28 to 507 of the family's 1533-position model. The record is from RNAcentral.
GAUGAACGCUGGCGGCGUGCCUAAUACAUGCAAGUCGAGCGAACAGACGAGGAGCUUGCUCCUUCGACGUUAGCGGCGGACGGGUGAGUAACACGUAGGUAACCUACCUAUAAGACUGGGAUAACUUCGGGAAACCGGAGCUAAUACCGGAUAAUAUUUCGAACCGCAUGGUUCGACAGUGAAAGAUGGCUUUGCUAUCACUUAUAGAUGGACCUGCGCCGUAUUAGCUAGUUGGUAAGGUAACGGCUUACCAAGGCAACGAUACGUAGCCGACCUGAGAGGGUGAUCAGCCACACUGGAACUGAGACACGGUCCAGACUCCUACGGGAGGCAGCAGUAGGGAAUCUUCCGCAAUGGGCGAAAGCCUGACGGAGCAACGCCGCGUGAGUGAUGAAGGUCUUCGGAUCGUAAAACUCUGUUAUUAGGGAAGAACAAACGUGUAAGUAACUGUGCACGUCUUGACGGUACCUAAUCAGAAAGCCACGGCUAACUACGUG